AAAAACAAUGAGCAAAACAGUGAGCAAAACAAUGAAAGGAGAGACUUGAAGAAACUUUGCCCUCCCUUGCUUGUUUUAGAACCCUUCUGCCACUUAUGAAGAAGGCUGCUGGAAGAUGACAGACCAGAUAAAGCGGAGAUCAGCGGUUCCAGCUGAGGCUUCCUUAGGCUACUCAGUCUGCCAACAAUCAGAUAGUGGGUUUUCAUUUGUUGACCUAAAAGGAAGAAGCUCAAGUAAAAUUAAGGACAUAUGACGCAGGGCAGAAGCCAGAAGCAACUGACCAUUUUGACCAGGGACCAGAAGCUUUCGGAUUUUAUCCUUCACAUCUGACAUAUACCAACACAGUCCACAUGGAUCACAGGGUGAUCAUGGGUGAGAUCUUGUUUUUGGAUUGCAAAAUGCUUAGGGAAUCAGAAAAUACCACUGGUGUUCUCUCAAAGUCCUCCUCCUCCAGGAAGCCUACCUGCAUUUAAGUGGGAUGGGGGAAGGUUCUCCAUGUUACCUUGUUCCUUUUCUGAAAUACUGUACCUGACAUAAUUCUACCUUGCAGCUGGCACCUAUCAGUGAAAGAAUGAAAAUAUGAUUGGAGAGGACUGGGGUGGAAAGAUCACUUGAGCCCAGUAA
Molecule: non-coding RNA, 624 nt
Organism: Callithrix jacchus (white-tufted-ear marmoset)
Lineage: Eukaryota; Metazoa; Chordata; Mammalia; Primates; Cebidae
Source: RefSeq, a predicted model, not a curated record